UGAGUUACGUUAAUUUUAUUUAUAUAAUUUUUUGUUUGUUUGUUUUACUUUAAGCAUGCUGUCCCUAGUGAUUUUGAUGUUCCAGAAACACCUACCUUUCAAAAUCCAGUUAUUUUAAAUGCAUGUUUGUAAUGGUUUGCAUAAAUAUUUUUAUAACAUAAAACUUAGUUUUAAUAACUUGAUUAUGCUUGUUCCUCUUUAGAAUGACAUGCCAGCUUUGAGGAAGUGGUGGUGUAUAAUGUUGCUUGAGAACUCAAGCCCCAAGGGGAAAUACUCACAUUGGACUGAGUUAGCAAAUGCCCUUCUAAAUGAUGACCAAGAACAUAAGAAAAAAUUAGAAGGUACAGAAA
Molecule: long non-coding RNA, 350 nt
Organism: Erpetoichthys calabaricus (reedfish)
Lineage: Eukaryota; Metazoa; Chordata; Cladistia; Polypteriformes; Polypteridae
Exons: 2
Source: RefSeq, a predicted model, not a curated record